CUACGGGAGGCUCCAGUGGGGAAUUUUGCGCAAUGGGAGAAACCCUGACGCAGCAAUACCGCGUGAGUGAAGAAGGCCUUUGGGUCGUAAAGCUCUUUUCUUGGGGAAGAUAGUGACGGUACCCAAGGAAUAAGCACCGGCUAACUCCGUGCCAGCAGCCGCGGUAAUACGGAGGGUGCAAGCGUUGUUCGGAUUUACUGGGCGUAAAGGGCACGUAGGCGGCACAGCAAGUUACGGGUGAAAUCCCGGGGCUCAACUCCGGAACUGCUCUUAAAACUGCUGAGCUAGAGAUAGUCAGAGGCGGGUGGAAUUCCAGGUGUAGAGGUGAAAUUCGUAGAUAUCUGGAGGAACACCGGUGGCGAAGGCGGCCCGCUGGGGCUAUUCUGACGCUAAGGUGCGAAAGCGUGGGGAGCAAACGGGAUUAGAUACCCCAGUAGUC
This 439-nucleotide ribosomal RNA is filed under the name uncultured bacterium. Its description in RNAcentral is "partial 16S ribosomal RNA". It matches the Rfam family "Bacterial small subunit ribosomal RNA", at positions 339 to 795 of the family's 1533-position model. The record is from RNAcentral.